GACGAACGCUGGCGGCGUGCUUAACACAUGCAAGUCGAACGGAAAGGCGCUGCUCUUGUGGGGUGCUCGAGUGGCGAACGGGUGAGUAACACGUGAGUAACCUGCCCUUGACUUUGGGAUAACUUCAGGAAACUGGGGCUAAUAUCGGAUAGGAGCUCCUGCUGCAUGGUGGGGGUUGGAAAGUUUCGGCGGUUGGGGAUGGUCUCGCGGCUUAUGCGCUAGUUGGUGGGGUAGUGGCUUACCAAGGCUUUGGCGGGUAGCCGGCCUGAGAGGGUGACCGGCCACAUUGGGACUGAGAUACGGCCCAGAAUCCUACGGGAGGCAGCAGUGGGAAAUAUUGCGCAAUGGGCGGAAGCCUGAUGCAGCAGCGCCGCGUGCGUGAUGACGGCCUUCGGGUUGUAAACCGCUUUCGCCUGUGACGAAGCGUGAGUGACGGUAAUGGGUAAAGAAGCACCGGCUAACUACGUG
Molecule: ribosomal RNA, 468 nt
Filed under: uncultured bacterium
Lineage: Bacteria
Description: partial 16S ribosomal RNA
Rfam family: Bacterial small subunit ribosomal RNA
Source: RNAcentral